AAUUUGUGGACAGUUGAUGGCAUUGGGAAAAACUCAUCAAUGAUGCAUUUGCAAACUUUAAGAGAAUAUCCUUGUGGACUUAAAAGAGGAAUUAAUGGUGUCAGUUACAGUUGUAUACUCUUCAAACAAAGGACAAAAAAGUUUGUCGUAAGGUGCUUUGUGGAAAUAAAUCCAAUGCCUGGGUCCAAGACAUAAAAGAUGAUUUUUAUUAUUUGUAAAUUUUGCGAUUUGUAAUACAUUUGUUAUGUUGUAUAUAUGUAUUUGUGAAUUAUUUUGUAUUGCUCAAAUUCUAAAAUAAACAAG
Uloborus diversus is the source of this 303-nucleotide long non-coding RNA. RefSeq lists it as uncharacterized. The record is from RefSeq and is a predicted model, not a curated record. The transcript is spliced from 3 exons. Lineage: Eukaryota; Metazoa; Arthropoda; Arachnida; Araneae; Uloboridae.